This is a long non-coding RNA of Capsicum annuum, 918 nucleotides long. RefSeq lists it as uncharacterized. NCBI's taxonomy places the organism in Eukaryota, Viridiplantae, Streptophyta, Magnoliopsida, Solanales, Solanaceae. The record is from RefSeq and is a predicted model, not a curated record. The transcript is spliced from 3 exons.
UACUUUUCAUGCUUAUAUGCUCAUGAUUGGUUCAUUUUUUGAAAUCUGAUUCAUUUGAGCAUUCUUACUUGACUACCUAUUAUUUUGUCUGCUUUACAUAUGAGUACAUGUUGUAUAUGUACUCAGUAAGGCACAGUUGUCUUUUGUCUGCUUUAUAUGCCAGUACAUGUUGUAUAUGUACUGGCAUCCCUACAUUUGGGGAAUAUAGGGUCAGGUUCACAUGACAACAGAUAUGCUCAGUAAGGCACAGUUGCCAUUUCAGCUAAUUUUUGGUGAGCUUCAUAGCCUCUAUCUGGAGCCAUAAGAUGUCUUAUCGUCUUGGCUAUAUAUUACAGUUGAAUCUUUCUUGUUCGCACCUGCUGGGCUGGGGGCAUGACAAAUCGCACCUUAUAACAACAUUGCGGAGCGGAACAUUUGAAAUUAAAAAGAAAUUUAAUGAAGAGUACUGAAAUCAGUUUACAAAAAUCAGAUUUUCUCUUCCAAAACUUGGGCAUAAAAUCAUGGGUAUGUUUAAAGUCCAAAUAUGUUAUAUUUCGAAAUUAUUUUUAUGCUUAGUAAAUAAGUAAAAGUAUCUAUGAAUCGAGUAAUAUGAGGUCUUAUAUAAAAGUAAUAUGUAUGGUUAGUGAUUUUCCCAAGUAAGAACAAGAGUACUAAAUCUUUUUACUGAUGGAAGGCACCAGUAAGAAUAAGGGUUGGAAAAUUCAGCUGACUCAAAAUUGGGGAUGAAACUUAUUAGUUAAUUGCAACAACAUGACGAAAGGGAGUUGCUCGGAUGCCCACAAAGCUGCAAUUUUGAAGAGUGGAAAGAAAGCACCGUAAAGCUGAAUUCAGAUUUGCUACUCAGCUCCCCAAUGGUGCUUCAAUAAAUCAAUUAAGCUUAACCGGUUUUCAGCUGCAAAAUUCAUCAUUUGCUUGUGC